AAAAGUCGUUGGCUUUUAUCAUACAUCCGAAUUUGUAAGCCUCAAUUUGUUGUUGCACAGCAAUCUAACAGCAUUCUCUGUUUUUCUGUGUUGCUUUUGGUGUGAGAAAGAAAGAAACACACGAGAAAAUGGAUGCACCGCCAGGGUAUCAAGAAAUGUCGAGUGUUGAGCAUAUUAAAAGGCGCCAUGAGGAGAAAGGCUGCCUCUAUGCUUGGUUAGUAUGAACUCAGUCAGUUACCCUUUUACUCAUCCUUUUUCGAUUGAAUUUAUAUAUAUAUAUAUAUAUAAUUGUUUUCCCCCUUGCUUUUGUGAUUGUUUUGACGCAGUUUGUUUACCCUGUGUUGCUGUUUCUGCUGCUAUGAGACUUGUGAAUGUUGUUUAGACAUACUUUGCUGUUCCUGCUCUUGAUAACAUGGAGAGGGGAGAGGAGAGAAAUAUUUCUCAUGAAUAAAUUAUGUAAUUGGUUUUUUAGGGAAGACAUAAACUUCUUCAAAUAAUUCCGUUUUCCCGGUGAAAAUGGAUGAAAUCCUCAAUUCCGUUUUAGAUUUGAGCUUAUAUAUGCAUCUGUAAUAUGUAAUAUGUAAUAUGUAUAUGAAUAUGAAGAUAUGGUGUGGGUACCUUUACUGAAGGAAUAAAUAUAUAGUGAUCAGUACAAUAUUUUGAUAUCUAAU
RNAcentral lists this long non-coding RNA (671 nucleotides) under Prunus dulcis (almond). RNAcentral describes it as "sRNA ncRNA". Lineage: Eukaryota; Viridiplantae; Streptophyta; Magnoliopsida; Rosales; Rosaceae. The record is from RNAcentral.